AUACGGGAGGCAGCAGUAAGGAAUAUUGGUCAAUGGAGGCAACUCUGAACCAGCCAUGCCGCGUGGAGGAUGAAGGCCCUCUGGGUUGUAAACUUCUUUUAUGGGGGAAGAAAUCUUUUGAUUCUUCGAGAGUUGACGGUACCCCAGGAAUAAGCACCGGCUAACUCCGUGCCAGCAGCCGCGGUAAUACGGAGGGUGCAAGCGUUAUCCGGAUUCACUGGGUUUAAAGGGUGCGUAGGAGGGUAGGUAAGUCAGUGGUGAAAUCUCCGGGCUCAACUCGGAAACUGCCGUUGAUACUAUCUGUCUUGAAUCCCGUGGAGGUGAGCGGAAUAUGUCAUGUAGCGGUGAAAUGCUUAGAUAUGACAUAGAACACCAAUUGCGAAGGCAGCUCACUACACGAAGAUUGACUCUGAGGCACGAAAGCGUGGGGAUCAAACAGGAUUAGAUACCCUGGUAGA
This 458-nucleotide ribosomal RNA is filed under the name uncultured bacterium. RNAcentral's name for it is "bacterial SSU rRNA". It matches the Rfam family "Bacterial small subunit ribosomal RNA", at positions 339 to 794 of the family's 1533-position model. The record is from RNAcentral.